AUGAUUAGAGACCAUAAUGAGCUACAGUUUUUGCAUGAGAAGCAGGGUGGUAACCCCCGUUCGCAACAGUACAUGCAGGCCUUCCAAAAUGCCAUUGAUGAUUGUCGGUUGAGGGACCUGGGUUUUGUGGGUGACCCGUUUACGUGGAGAAGAGGACAAAUCUGAGAAAGGCUUGACCGAGGGUUAGUAAACGAUGCUUGGUCACUGAUUUUUCCCAAUGCCGCUCUAGAAAAUAUGGAGUUUAACCACUUGGAUCACAGGCUACUAUUUUUUUUGUAUAUGUACUGCAAGGCAACAGCCUCACAGCUCUUUAUUGAAAACAACAAAGAACAAAGUCCUAUUACAAGUCCAUACAAGAAGAGAAAAGAGGAAGACAAAAAUACUUACAAAGUUACAACCCAAGCAGGGCAAAGAAAAACACUACCUAAGGAAGGUUAG
Molecule: ribosomal RNA, 438 nt
Filed under: Triticum aestivum (bread wheat)
Lineage: Eukaryota; Viridiplantae; Streptophyta; Magnoliopsida; Poales; Poaceae
Description: partial small subunit ribosomal RNA
Source: RNAcentral